Long non-coding RNA from Gymnodraco acuticeps, 697 nucleotides. RefSeq lists it as uncharacterized. Lineage: Eukaryota; Metazoa; Chordata; Actinopteri; Perciformes; Bathydraconidae. The transcript has 4 exons. The record is from RefSeq and is a predicted model, not a curated record.
CUUCCUGAGUCGGUGACUCCCACUGCAUAGCUACACAGAAGUUUCCUCUACAAACAGUGUUCACAUUCCUGGUGAAGUUUAAUGCUAUUAAAUGAGUGUUUAGCAGUAUUAGGACUUGUUCGACAGGAUUCCUUAAACACCAAGGUGUGGCAGAGCCAGGGAGUGUCCCCAUGUGCUCCUAUAUUUAAACCCUGCAGACGGUGCUCUCUUCACCGUGUCGACUCAUCUCUCAGGUACUAACUUCAGUAAGGCUGCCUAACAUAUUGACAGAUCAUCUACCCUCUGGAAAUGGAAGAGUGCUUGAACCUAACUGGAUUGGAAAUCUCUCUGGUUUCCAUGUAUGCUGUCUUUGACGGGAACAAAAAUGAAAAUGGAAAAAUGGACAAGGAUACGUUUUUGAGAGUGUUGAAGGAGGAACUGCCUUUCUUUGCGCAAGCGGCAGCUAAGAACAAUUGUGACAUGUUCAGCAAAGUGGACCUUGACAACGACGGGUUCGUGGACUUUGAAGAGUUCUCCAAAAUGGUUUGCGGUUGUGCUUGUUCCAGCCAUGACGCUUUGGAGGAAGCCCACAAAAAACAUGAGCAGAAGAAGGAAUAAAACAAAUGACCAUUUAUGAACAUGGCUAAUACUUUUUCAGUACUUUCUGACAAAUGUGAUUUCACCUUACAAUAAUAAAAGUGUUUUUGUUCCAGUAUUA